UACAGGGGGGGCAAGCGUUGUUCGGAAUUACUGGGCGUAAAGGGCUCGUAGGCGGCCAACUAAGUCGGACGUGAAAUCCCUCAGCUUAACUGGGGAGGGUCACGCGAUACUGCUCGACUUGAAGGCAGGAGAGGGAAGUGGAAUUCCCGGUGUAGUGGUGAAAUGCGUAGAUAUCGGGAGGAACACCAGUGGCGAAGGCGACUUACUGGCCUGUUCUUGACGCUGAGGCGCGAAAGCUAGGGUAGCAAACGGG
This 253-nucleotide ribosomal RNA is filed under the name uncultured bacterium. RNAcentral's name for it is "partial 16S ribosomal RNA". It matches the Rfam family "Bacterial small subunit ribosomal RNA", at positions 524 to 776 of the family's 1533-position model. The record is from RNAcentral.